UACGGGGGGAGCAAGCGUUGUUCGGAUUUACUGGGCGUAAGGGCGCGUAGGCGGCCACUGCAAGUCAGUUGUGAAAUCUCCGGGCUUAACCCGGAAAGGUCAACUGAUACUGCAGGGCUAGAGUGCAGAAGGGGCAACUGGAAUUCUCGGUGUAGCGGUGAAAUGCGUAGAUAUCGAGAGGAACACCUGCGGCGAAGGCGGGUUGCUGGGCUGACACUGACGCUGAUGUGCGAAAGCCAGGGGAGCGAACGGG
This 253-nucleotide ribosomal RNA is filed under the name uncultured bacterium. RNAcentral's name for it is "partial 16S ribosomal RNA". It matches the Rfam family "Bacterial small subunit ribosomal RNA", at positions 524 to 776 of the family's 1533-position model. The record is from RNAcentral.